GAGUCAAAAAGACCGCGAAACCGUUAGGAGGGAAACGAAUGCAGCUGAAGUGGCUCCGUAUCAGGUUCAGGGGAUGUUGGAGGAUGUGCCGGGUCUGGGUAGCUUCAUGCGUCCUGGCUCGGAUAGGCCGCCGACUUCUCUGCACUCCUGUGGGGAGCCGGCCAACAGCAGUUGCUCCUGGCCCAGAAGGUCGGUCGGGAGGUGCCCCUGCACUUGUGCAGGGAACGUAUAGCCGAACGUCCGGCGGUCUGGGAGCGACUGAGGAGAGUCGUGAAUUUUCACGUGUGCAGCGCAGGCCCAUCUGGGCCGGGUCUCCUCUGUCCGUUUGGGUCCCGCGUUGGGGACUGCUUGCAGUGCCUUUUGACGGCAAACCUGCUCGGGCGGGGGAAUGGCCACGCCGUGCGCUCUGGUUGUUGGUGCUCAAAUGGCUGCAUC
RNAcentral lists this ribosomal RNA (435 nucleotides) under Cliona utricularis. Its description in RNAcentral is "eukaryotic LSU rRNA". Lineage: Eukaryota; Metazoa; Porifera; Demospongiae; Clionaida; Clionaidae. The record is from RNAcentral.